UGGGGAAUCUUAGACAAUGGGGGCAACCCUGAUCCAGCCAUGCCGCGUGAGUGAAGAAGGCCUUAGGGUUGUAAAGCUCUUUCGCCAGGGAUGAUAAUGACAGUAUCUGGUAAAGAAACCCCGGCUAACUCCGUGCCAGCAGCCGCGGUAAUACGGAGGGGGUUAGCGUUGUUCGGAAUUACUGGGCGUAAAGCGCGCGUAGGCGGAUUAGUCAGUUAGAGGUGAAAUCCCGGGGCUCAACCCCGGAACUGCCUUUAAUACUGCUAGUCUUGAGUUCGAGAGAGGUGAGUGGAAUUCCUAGUGUAGAGGUGAAAUUCGUAGAUAUUAGGAGGAACACCAGUGGCGAAGGCGGCUCACUGGCUCGAUACUGACGCUGAGGUGCGAAAGUGUGGGGAGCAAACAGGAUUAGAUACCCUGGUAGUCCACACCGUAAACGAUGAAAGCCAG
RNAcentral lists this ribosomal RNA (447 nucleotides) under uncultured Alphaproteobacteria bacterium. Its description in RNAcentral is "bacterial SSU rRNA". It matches the Rfam family "Bacterial small subunit ribosomal RNA", at positions 355 to 819 of the family's 1533-position model. The record is from RNAcentral. Lineage: Bacteria; Pseudomonadati; Pseudomonadota; Alphaproteobacteria.